Oreochromis niloticus (Nile tilapia) is the source of this 1498-nucleotide long non-coding RNA. RefSeq lists it as uncharacterized. NCBI's taxonomy places the organism in Eukaryota, Metazoa, Chordata, Actinopteri, Cichliformes, Cichlidae. The record is from RefSeq and is a predicted model, not a curated record. The transcript is spliced from 3 exons.
UUUCCUUAGGGCAGCUGUGAUGGGAUCAUGCACUUUGAAUUUUAGCUGAUCAUGCUUUUGUUGUGGAUUUUUGUGAUAUCGUCAAUGCCUAGCAAGUUCAACAAAACCAACAGGAAGGAUGAUCUUGGUCAACUCAGUGACUGCAAGGUGCACGGGUCCUGUGGCUGCAAAACAAUCCAAACUUAUCACCUCCCCUUCACCAUCAUGCUUAAUGCUGGGGAUCCAGACAGUCAUUGGAGGCUCGUGCCUGAGUUUUGGGAAGCGACGGAGUCAUCAGUGACCCAGAUGCCCUGAUCUUCUGUCCAUCAAAGCCUCUGUUUUAGGCCUGAAAUACGCUCAUCUCCCAGAAGCUAUGCCUGUCACUGUCUGGGCUCCCGUCAGAAAUUUUCUGACUAAGAGCCUUGCGGUCUGCAGUGGCACGAUAACAAAAACAUCUCUUCCCUGUUAGGCUGCAAGCUCCUCUCCCCUCUCAUGGUAAAAAUAACAUCAGGCCCAGAAUAUUAAAGAGGGAUUUUUUGGGGGGGUGAUAUUUAUCGUCUAUAAUUGCAUUGCCACACCUGAUUUUGUGUUCUUUCUGUGUGUGAAGCAAGUGGCUGCUACUAGUGGGUUACAGUUGCCAUGGUUUCUUCUGUUUUGAUCAUUCUUAUAUAAUGUUAUUGGUGACUGGUUGCUGUGAAAAAUGAGCACACACACACACACACACACACACACAUUCUCAGUUUAUGUCAGUAAAUGUUGCUAACCACCCCCACAUUCUUGUCCUUCCUCGAAGAGAGCAGCCCGAGGACAAACAACAGCUCCUCUCACAUCAUCUUCCUCUCUCCUAUACUCAUCACACCCUCUGUCUCUUUCUCUCUCCUUAUCGCUCUCUCAUUGCCUCUCUCAAGUCUUCCCUUCUUCCAGCUUUAUUGUCACCAUUUUCUCUCCUCCCCUGCCCCACUUCUCCUCGAUCCACUUUAUCUCUCUCAGUCAUAGCAGCAUUGAUUUUCACAGGGCCUCUCCCCUGUCAUAUCUCCACAUCUCUUAAUUCGCACACACUCCUUGUCUCUACACCUUGCAGAUUUGUUUUCAUUUUAACACAAACACACACCACCUCAUGCACACACACAGUCUUGUAUCCAGGACACAUUACAAUGCCUUGCAUUCAUUUCCUCCAGUCUUACUUUAACCUUUUCCAGAGCCACUACUUACCUAACCCUGACCUUAAAAUAUGUCUUCACCUUAUGGGAACUUGUGUUUUGGCCUCAGAAGGAAGACAGGUCAUAAUGUGACUAUGUAAACAGAGUUAGGUCCUCACAUUAUGAGUAAUACCAAACUUGUGGGUACACACACACACCCUCACCAAUGUCCUUUUUUUCUAUCUCCAGCUGUCUGGAGCCAGCCACACACACACUCUGUCUUCCCCCUCCAGAGAUGAUUUUUAUUAAUCUCUUUUUCUACUUUUCCAUCAGUCUCCUCUAAAAUACACAGCAUCUCCAUCCCACUAAGCUCUGUCACC